Molecule: long non-coding RNA, 644 nt
Filed under: Nicotiana benthamiana
Lineage: Eukaryota; Viridiplantae; Streptophyta; Magnoliopsida; Solanales; Solanaceae
Description: long non-coding RNA (NBEN_LNC009782)
Source: RNAcentral
GAAUUACAAGAAGAGGAAUGUUGAGAUUGGAGGCAGAAAAAGGCAAGGGGAGCGGUGUAAGUGAGGCACUGAAGAACUGAGUUGAGAUAACAGGUAUUGCCGAUGUUUUUGAGCCCUAACGGAGGACCAGUUUUGCGUCUCUGGCUGAGCAGAUUCGGCUGCCAAUUCAUUUGCAGCAAAUAGGCCAUUAACGACCUAAUUCUUCUUCCUCCACCGCCAGCACCGCCGCGUAUGGGCUGCCCCAAAGCCGCAGCCACCACGAUCGCAUCGCCUCGAAUUCCUCUCCCUCUCUAUCUCUCUUUCUACGUUUCGUUUUCUUUUUCUCCUGUUAGGUUUUUUCCAAUUUUUGGAUGAGGGAGGUGUCUAUCUCUCUUUCUACGUUUCGCUUUUCUUUUUCUCCUGUUAGGUUUUUUUCCAAUUUUUGGUUGAGGAGGGAGAUUUCCAGAAUAUUGAGAGGUUUAAUUGUGGUUUCAAAUUGGCAGUGACUGCUUACAUAAUUCUCUAUAUAUACAAUUUGUUUUUCGGGGUGGGUAAAUAAUAGCGUGGCGUUAGUAUGUUUUGUAUUGUGUUGUUAUUAUAUACAGAAAGAGAAGACGAGGAGAGUGUGAAAACAGGGAAGUCCCCACCCACCCCCUAAACCCAAA